Ctenopharyngodon idella (grass carp) is the source of this 2750-nucleotide long non-coding RNA. RefSeq lists it as uncharacterized. The transcript has 4 exons. NCBI's taxonomy places the organism in Eukaryota, Metazoa, Chordata, Actinopteri, Cypriniformes, Xenocyprididae. The record is from RefSeq and is a predicted model, not a curated record.
GGCUUUUUUCCUCAGUGUGAUUCUAGAGGUGUCUUGGGCUGGGAGGCAGUUGAUGCCUUGGCAGCCUGCCUGGUUGGCCUUAACUGAACAAUCACUGCCUUGUUCACAAGAUGAGGCCAACAUAGCUGUACAUGGCUCUGCAUGCCAUGGACAAGGUGCCAUCAAAAUAUAGCCAGAGGGUAAAGAAGAAGACUUUGCCAGAACCAUAGAGAGCAUCCAGGAAGCGGAGUGGCUCUGCUCCAGGACAGCAGGCAGCAGAGAGACUGUUCAUGACUCAUGGGCAGGUGGCUCAGGACCCUGAAGUCCACAGGGUCUGUGAAUGUGUUUGCUUACGGCUUUUUAAAGAGAUUAAGCACGGAACAGGCCCAAGGACACAAGAGGAAAAACUCUGCCAAUCCCACAAUCUAUUGUGAUGGUAUACAGCCACUUAAAACAGCUGCUGGAGGACAGCAGAGCAGUUCUAGGACAGACGAACCUGGUUCUGGUCCCGAUAAACACCACUACUGUCUCCUCGUGGCUACAGAAAGGUGUGGACAGAGACAUGCUGCUGCAGGGUACUGCACUGCCUAAACAAUUAUAUUUGGCAAAGGAGUCACUUCCUGCUGCUCCUGCACAGCAUGGGCAUGAGGCCAUGGUAUUUGAGGAGCCAGAAAAUCAGGAGGCAGAGGCCUUCAUUCGCAAGCACAUCUCCAACUACCCACCCCUCCUCCUGGAUCUUACUCGGGAUUUCCCAUAUACCCACCAACACCACACUUUGCAUUCCCCCCUCUUGGGUCCUACCCACCCUUUCCCAGCUACCCACCAGGUCUACCAGUGCCUCAGUCUACCCAGUUUAUGCCCUCUCCCCAGUUCCAGCCGCCUGAUAACCUGCCACCACAAACUUUCCCUCUACUCAGCCCAGGCAGCGCACCUGGAGAAGGCAGAAAGCUGCCCAAGAGGAUGAGGAACGAGUGGCUAGGGGUGAACCACCAUGGAAACGCCUAGCAAAGGAUAUAUAUCACUAUAUCUGCAAACACUGCGGGCUGUCAAAAAACAAGACAACUGGCCACACUCAGCUGAAGGGCCGGUGGUAUUGUCCAGCCUCAGGCCUCUCUGUUGCACAGUGGAAAGGGAAUGUACAGGGAGCUCUUUGAUUUGUUUAAUUGGUGUAUAUAGUAGUUAUGUAUAUAGUUAGGUUUUUAUAUAGUAGUUUUUUUUAUAGUUGUAUAUACUUCAGUUUUUAAUUGUGUUUGCUGUGCUGUGUGUUGUGCUGUGAACAUUUUGUUUUUAGUUGCUGUGUUUGUAUAAAAAAAAAAAAGACACAACUUGUGGUGUAAUAGUAACACAUCCAACCUUUGGGUGGAAGAUUCCAGGUGCAAGUCCAGGCAAGAGUGUGUGGUGUGUUUGUCAGAUCAGUAUUUUAGUUUUUUAAAAGUUUUUAUUAUAAAUUGUAUAGUCAAAAAUCAUUUAAACCCUUUACUUAAAUCCUUUGUGUUCAUGAGUGCUCGACUUUUUUUCUUUCCUUAAGUAAAAAUCAAAUACUAUCAAAAACAAUUAGAUGAAACUGAACACCUACACAAGCAUUAGUCUUUCAAUUCAUUACCAUCUAUUCAAAGGGGAAAACUUCUGAAUAAUUUUGUACUGUAACAUAAACAUGGUUCAUGUAACAAACUGCAGUGAAAUAUAAACAAUAGAGAGUGUUUUUCUUGUUUUGUUAAGAAACUUUACAAAAGAAAACGUAUAAUGCUACCUGAUGUUAGUGUUUUUAGGUCUGUGUUUUAUGAUUGACAAGCUGCGUUUGCUGAGUGAAAACCUUUGCUAGUGUUUUGGAAGAAUGAGUUGAUUUGAGACAUGAAUGAAGUGUUUUGUUAGAUUCAGUGCAUUUUGAAUGUGAAAUGAACUGCUGUGCCCAGAUGAAAGUUGGUUAGGAGAACUGUGUGAAGAGUUUUGAAAAAGUGACUUAAGUAUUGAGAAAUGUGUCCUUGCGAUUGUAAAAAAAAACUGUAAAGGUACUUAAUCUGUAAAGGUAAAGGUAAUUCAAGGAUGAGAUUCUGGUCAAAUGUCUGUUUAGUUGUUUAUUAUAAUGGAAUUCCACCAAAAGCAGCAGAAGUGAGCUGUCGGCACAUUAUGAAUUGUUGUCUACUGGCAAAAACCUGCACAAUAUCACUGGCUGUUAUGUGCCUGUCACUAAACCAGUUACAGCUCCCUUAAGAUCGGUCAGGAUCAGGUCAGGUCAGGGCCAAGAUUCAGCAAGAUAGUGAAUGGUCAUCAGAGAUGAGACACUCAUAAGGGAGGAAGAGAUUAUGGGGCGGUUUCCCGGACAUAUAAAAUAUAUAUAUAUAUAUAAAAUAAUUUUGUACGUUUAUGUGCAUUUUAUAUAUACAAAUAACUGAUCAGAUUCUAAAACAUUUCAGCAUAAUUAUUUUUGUUAUACAAGAGUUUAACAGGAAAUAAAAAAAAGAUAAAUGAAGAAAAAGUGAUGGUGUGUUUUGGCAUAAAUACACUGAAAAAAAAGAUAGAUAGAUAGAUAGAUUCUUUAUUUAUUUAGAUUCUUUUUUUUUCUCAGGUUUUCCCUUUGAAAACUGCUGUUUGAAGUACAUUGUGCAACAUUCCUGCUAUUGUUUUCAAGCUGAAGAAGCAAAGGACGCUCUGUGCUGAUCCGAAACAAUCCUGGGUGCAAGAACUCAUGCAGAAAAUAGACAAGAAAAACACAGGCACUAAGUAGUGUACGAGUUUCAGAGACAGAUUUGAUCACGCCACUGCAGACGAAA